RNAcentral lists this ribosomal RNA (253 nucleotides) under uncultured bacterium. RNAcentral describes it as "partial 16S ribosomal RNA". It matches the Rfam family "Bacterial small subunit ribosomal RNA", at positions 524 to 776 of the family's 1533-position model. The record is from RNAcentral.
UACGUAGGGGGCGAGCGUUGUCCGGAUUUAUUGGGCGUAAAGGGCGCGUAGGCGGAAUGGCAAGUCGGUCGUGAAAUCCUUCGGCUCAACCGAAGAACGUCGAUCGAAACUGCCGUUCUUGAGGAUUGCAGAGGAGACUGGAAUUCCCGGUGUAGCGGUGAAAUGUGUAGAGAUCGGGAGGAACACCGGUGGCGAAGGCGGGUCUCUGGGCAAUUCCUGACGCUGAGGCGCGAAAGCGUGGGGAGCAAACGGG